CAACACCAAAAAAAAGAAAGUGAUCUAUUGUGUUUUGUCUCAAAUCAUUUGAGGCUUUAUUUAUGUUGGAUUAACUACACUGGAGGGGAGGCUGCAUUUGUGGAAAUUGCCUUUAUGCUUGUCUUUGUUUACUGUGAAAUAAUCAAAAUACGAUGCUCUUUUAGGGUUGGAGUUGGAUGUUGGCAACACCAGUAGUAUGCUGGAGAAACUAGUAGCUUGUUAAGUCAUUUUGUGCCAUGAACAACUCCAUGCUGAUAUUGUACCCUAAUGUCAUUAGAUGUUUAGAGGCCUAGAUAAUUAUGAGUUUGAGACUUGGUAAUUCUAUUCCUAGCGCAUGCUUGUAAUCAUGCUAUAAUUGUAAUAUCCAAAAUUCCAUAAUUGGUUUAGGAUUUUGUUUUGCAUCUAUAAGCAUGACGCUUAGGCUAUGCUUGAGGAAUAUCUCUAUUUGAAGAGAAUUUCAUUUCAAUGGAGAUCACCUCUCAGGGUAUUCUAUUAGUAUAUUCAAGUAGUAGCUAUUUUUUUUGUCUUUGGAAAUAUUAUUGUGUAGCUGCUAAUACUUUUUAGUUGUUACCUAACACUUAAUAUGCACAGAGAUGAUUGAAGAAUUAAUCAGUAGGGGACAACAGCUUGAUGCGGUGCAUUUUACAUAUGAAGUUGGCCUUGUGGACAAAUUUCCCCCAGUUCCUCUGCUUAAAGCUUUUCUGAAGGAUGCUAAGAAAGCUGCUGUAUCUAUUCUUGAGGACCCCAAUAAUGCUGGCCGAGCUGCGGUACAUCUUUUCACUUACUCAUCUUGAUGCUUUAUUGAAUUUGCUUAAUUGAGGCGAUAUUUGUUUGAUUUUUAUGGAAAUGGAUGAUAUCCUCUUAUUGAAUGUCUGAUUCUAGUUAACUUCUGGUCAAGUUCAUGCAGAUUAGGGUCAUCAUUUUUUGCAUUUAUAGUUUGGUUGAGCCUUUUUUUCUCUGUAUUUCUAUGUGCCAACUAUGCUACCUGCGGUGUUCAGUGCAUUGUCCAAGUUAGUGUUGAAAGCUACUGGUUUUACUUAUAGCUCUCUUUGAUUAGUUGUGGAAGGUGGAGGCUCAGGAUGUGGGAAACUUUUGUACUUUUAUCUCAUAGUGAGUAGCAUCUAAUUUUUUUUUUUAAUCUAUGCUUUCAGCUAACUAGUGGCUUUUCUUUACAUAAUUUUGCAGCACUUUGCUGCACGCAAAGAGCAGUCAGCCCUCCGGGCCGUCAUCAAGUGCAUUGAAGAUUACAAACUUCAAGCUGAGUUCCCUCCAGAAAACCUCAAGAAGCGUCUUGAGCAGCUAGAGAAGGCCAAGACUGAGAAAAAG
This 1326-nucleotide long non-coding RNA is filed under the name Citrus maxima (pomelo). Its description in RNAcentral is "long non-coding RNA (CMAX_LNC003616)". The record is from RNAcentral. Lineage: Eukaryota; Viridiplantae; Streptophyta; Magnoliopsida; Sapindales; Rutaceae.